This 299-nucleotide ribosomal RNA is filed under the name Enterobacter cloacae. RNAcentral describes it as "partial 23S ribosomal RNA". It matches the Rfam family "Bacterial large subunit ribosomal RNA", at positions 1917 to 2215 of the family's 2925-position model. The record is from RNAcentral. Lineage: Bacteria; Pseudomonadati; Pseudomonadota; Gammaproteobacteria; Enterobacterales; Enterobacteriaceae. RNAcentral also lists the same sequence under 2 other names.
GCCCCGGUAAACGGCGGCCGUAACUAUAACGGUCCUAAGGUAGCGAAAUUCCUUGUCGGGUAAGUUCCGACCUGCACGAAUGGCGUAAUGAUGGCCAGGCUGUCUCCACCCGAGACUCAGUGAAAUUGAACUCGCUGUGAAGAUGCAGUGUACCCGCGGCAAGACGGAAAGACCCCGUGAACCUUUACUAUAGCUUGACACUGAACACUGGUCCUUGAUGUGUAGGAUAGGUGGGAGGCUUUGAAGCGUGGACGCCAGUCUGCGUGGAGCCGUCCUUGAAAUACCACCCUUUAAUGGCU